CUGACGUUAGGAGUGGCGGGUGUCCUCACGGGUGCCCGUCACUUAGUUUGCCCUGCUUAGCGGGACAACUUGUGUUUAGCAAGAUGAGAUUGAGCGAUAACAGGUCCGUGAUGCCCUUAGAUGUUCUGGGCUGCACGCGUGCUACAAUGUGAGCAGCAGCGUGUUCUCGCCUUAUGGCGCCCCCAUUCCGAGAGGAACGGGAAAUCACCCAAAUGCUCAUUUAGUAGGGAUUGGGGACUGCAAUGGUCCCCAUGAACCUGGAAUUUCUAGUAAGUGCUAGUCAUUAGCUAGCGCUGAUUACGUCCCUGCCCUUUGUACACACCGCCCGUCGCUACUACCGAUGGAUUAUUUAGUGAGGUCUCUGGAGGCACACCUUCCGCGAUUCCUUCGUGAGUUGCAGUUGGCACGGCCGAAGUUGACCGAACUUGAUGAUUUAGAGGAAGUAAAAGUCGUAACAAGGUUUGCCGUAGGUGAACCUGCGGAAGGAUCAUUA
Molecule: non-coding RNA, 493 nt
Filed under: Anopheles gambiae (African malaria mosquito)
Lineage: Eukaryota; Metazoa; Arthropoda; Insecta; Diptera; Culicidae
Description: Eukaryotic small subunit ribosomal RNA
Rfam family: Eukaryotic small subunit ribosomal RNA
Source: Rfam by way of RNAcentral